AGCAGCCGCGGUAAUUCCAGCUCCAAUAGCGUAUAUUAAAGUUGCUGCAGUUAAAAAGCUCGUAGUUGAAUUUCGGGAUCAAUAUAUCGGUCGUGCCUUGGUACGUACUGGUAUCAUUGGUUUCUCCUUUCUGACGAACCAUGAUGUCAUUAAUUUGGUGUCUUGGGGAAUCAGGACUGUUACUUUGAAAAAAUUGAGUGUUUAAAGCAGGCUCACGCUUGAAUACAUUAGCAUGGAAUAAUGAAAUAGGACGUUUGAUUCUAUUUUGUUGGUUUCUAGGAUCGACGUAAUGAUUAAUAGGGAUAGUUGGGGGCAUUAGUAUUCAAUUGUCAGAGGUGAAAUUCUUGGAUUUAUUGAAGACUAACUACUGCGAAAGCAUUUGCCAAGGAUGUUUUCAUUAAUCAAGAACGAAAGUUAGGGAUCGAAGACGAUCAGAUACCGUCGUAGUCUUAACCAGUAAACCUAUGCCGACUAGGGAUCGGAUGGAUGUUAAUUUUUANGUA
This 503-nucleotide ribosomal RNA is filed under the name uncultured Glomus. Its description in RNAcentral is "SSU rRNA". It matches the Rfam family "Eukaryotic small subunit ribosomal RNA", at positions 569 to 1077 of the family's 1831-position model. Lineage: Eukaryota; Fungi; Glomeromycota; Glomeromycetes; Glomerales; Glomeraceae. The record is from RNAcentral.